This is a long non-coding RNA of Leptopilina boulardi, 936 nucleotides long. RefSeq lists it as uncharacterized. The record is from RefSeq and is a predicted model, not a curated record. NCBI's taxonomy places the organism in Eukaryota, Metazoa, Arthropoda, Insecta, Hymenoptera, Figitidae. The transcript has 4 exons.
GCAGAUUCUAUCCUCGAUGUUUUGUGGUGUCACGUACUUUAAAGAUAAGGACGAAAGUAAAAAAGGACUUGAAGGACACAAAAUUCUUCAUAUUUAGACUUUUUAGAACUCGGUCUAUUUUUCACAUUUUCUGAAUGGAAAUUUAACUUGAAAGUAGGGAUCUCCGAGGGCUAUUUAGUUUAAAAGAAAAUCAUCAUGAAGCUGAAAAUUCGUUAUUAAGAGUGCGUGAUACAGUUGUUAGCUGCGUUUCUAAAGAACCACUUCACGGAUUACACCUCAACUUCCUAUAGGGGGGUAACUUUGCUGAACUGCAUGCACUUACCAAUAGUGUGCAGAUAGACACUUUAAGGUUACAUGGAAAGGGUUAAAGAUCAUUCCACAACGUCAUUAUCGUAUCUUCAGUAAAUUAUUGGCACAUGCGCAGAUUUCAGGUAUAAGUUGCAGGAGGAAAGAAAAGGAAGAAGAAUGAAGAUUCAGCAGCAUCCUUGAGAGUAAAACUUUUCGUACAAGAAAAACUAAGGCACACACACACAUAUAUAGAGAGGAAGAAAAUAGGAAAAAUCUAUUGAACCGAAUCGUAGCCCGCGAUGUUUACGAGCUUUUAUAGUAGUGGCGAACGAUGAAUGAUUUGCAUAAAAAGAACCACUUCUAAAAUAUAUAGUCUUUUACUCUUAGCGAGAGGGACAUAAAUGUACAUAUAUUCCAUCAGAUAAAUCCUUUCAUCUUACUAAAAAUAUUUACGAGAUACUCUCAUACAUAAAUUUCACUAUUUAUUGUUUUUUUUUUGAAAAAAAAUUUUUGUUUGUAAUUAAAUACAUUAAAUUUUUGUAAAUAUUUUCUAAUUGCAAAAUUAAUAUAUAAUGAUUUUCUACACUCGUCGAGAAAUUGUAUUUUUCAAAUAGAAAUUGAUUGAUAUUAAAUUUGUUAAAAAGGAGA